This is a long non-coding RNA of Ornithodoros turicata, 2800 nucleotides long. RefSeq lists it as uncharacterized. The transcript is spliced from 2 exons. Lineage: Eukaryota; Metazoa; Arthropoda; Arachnida; Ixodida; Argasidae. The record is from RefSeq and is a predicted model, not a curated record.
UUCUCCAAAAGGAAAUGAUGCCAUCAACGUCGUUAAAACGUUUUAAUGUCGGUGUGUCACUGGGGAAGUUCGGCUACCGGAAGUAUGGAUUCCCAGGUAUUCACACACCUGAAGGUCACAUUUGGGACUAAAAGAGCUCUAAGAGCGUGGUGUGCCAUUGGAUGAGCAAAGCAGUUCAUACAGUGCCUCGGUAACAUGACUCUCUAGCGGCUGGUCGUUAUCUGAGCCACCCUGUGCUGUAAAAAUUUGGAAAUGAACAUGGACUAUGGCUAUUUCGCAUUUUCAACCGUGCUCAAAACACCACAAGAACCGUAACUUCAAUAGCUGACACAGACGAAGUUCGUUUUGUAGCGAGGAGAAUCGAAUCAUGUGCGCUGAAAAUCCACCUGUCAAGAAAUAAUGCGAGGAACAGCUCCUACCAGAUGCAAAGUGAAUAGCCAUGGUUCUUCCAGGCGCACUGUCCGUGUUCCGGUAUGAACUUUGGGUGCAAUUUUAUUCUCCAAAUCUCCAGGUCGGAAAUUUCCGCUUCGAAAUUCCUGCCGUAGAACGUACGAAGUGCUUGUGGGGACCUCAUCAGUUGUGCGAAGGCAAACAGCGUUUGAGGAAAGUGGGACGAAGCGAUGUCUUCUCGUGAAGGUCCAGUUUCACCGACUGGAAGCCGAAGCUCAAUGGCUGCACUGUAGUAGACGAGAUUAUAACUCGAACGUUUCCAGCACUGGACCACCGGGGAGGACCUCGAUAUUCCCGAUUGUGAAGUCCACGACCUCGAAAUUCACGUUUUCGAAGAAGGAAAAUCAAGAGGAAUGCUCGAUUGCUUCUUCGGAUGAUAUGAAAACAAUUUAACUACUUAAAUUCACGGGUUUUCGAUGUCUGUCCAAGUCGUUCGCCACCGUGGACUAGAUAGCCCUUUCGGUCUUCCUGAGACUUUGUCUACAGUGCACUGGCGGGCUACGUGGGAUGUCAGAAGGUCACGUGGAACGUCCGUGUCCUCUUCCUGCCCCCUUCUCUGCACUCUGUUGCAUUUCUUCCAAACGGCACCGUUUCUGUCUGUGUAUUCACACGGACAACUACACCAGCGGAAGAUGCGCAAAACGUCAUGGCUUUGCACUGUUACGUGUAGCGCGAGCGUUGAACGUCAUGUCUAUUCGUGCUCUUCUGAUAUACUGCGGCUAAGCCACAAGAUAUUCCUUAGCAGACGACAGGGCCGGUGGUGUCUUGUGCUAUGUAUACUGCAUGGAACUCCCGGUGCUCCUGUGCCAUACGAAGGGCCAGCAAUUCAGUAUAAAACACAGGGAGCAGCUUUUACUCCCCCACCCCGUGAAAUAUUACGUGGAGAUGUCACCCAUGUGGAUGCCCUGUUUCUGGAGCUCUGGCGCUCAACUGUGAUAUUCCGUAGCAGGUGACAGGGCCGUACGAAUGCUCUGCGUAAGAUGCAGUUGGCACUUUCUGCUUUUUCUUCCACUAGAAUAUUUCGUGGAGACGUCGCACGUGUGAACACACUAGAGAUGGGACAAAUCCAGAAUAUCCGAAUCCACGAAUCUUUCGAAUCCUUUCUUAAAAAAGAGCUCCACUUUCUUCUGGGCCUUCACCUGGGGCUCCUUGCUUAUACAUACUCGUGCAGUACCGGUUGUCACGGACGCGCACCUAUCACAGUCCACCUGCGGAACUGCAUGUGCCCGUCGUAGCCGGACCUUGUACUCACUUUCUUUGCUCUUGUUGGCGCUCUAAUUGCCCUUCUUGCACGCCGGAUCUUGAGGCGAAAAUCCGUUUCCUGUGGUCCGUGUAAGGGCACCACCUGCUGGUCAUAUGCGGACUGACCUCUGCGCGCUCUGGGUCAUUUCGUGACAACCUGUCCUUCUAUUUUUCCACUUGGUUUCUGACUGCGCACAUGCAUUGCGUGCCUGCACGAAGGACCCAAGACUCUCUUGAUUUUGUGCUUAAGGAAAGUCUUAUAUACUGCUUUCGCUGUACUUAUUGGGAAAGCGGCCAUUUGACUCCCUGUCCGGGAUAUGGACACUGACAUGCCUCGCCGUGUCGUGCAGCUGCAGCUGAACAGCGCUGCGGAGGAGCACGAGAAGCCUUAGUGGCACUCCUUUUCAGGUUGCACGAGUGAGGGCCCUUAUCAAUAACAUUCUUGCGAGCAUGGGUUACGAAACUGCAGAGACUGGGCUGCUACAACCAGAGGAGACAGACAGCGCAAAAGGUACCAAAGAAGUUAUGCCAUUGGGAUUUACAACUUGUGAGUCUGAAGAUCUUGGUGAAGUUGUCCCGAGGAAGCUGCUUGCAAAGACGCGCAGGAAGGUGUCAGCAGAGCUACCUCGUUCUGCCGUUGGAGUUGUCAAGCUCAAAGCAGUCUACAAAAGGCUGAGGGUCAACUGCACGAAGAAAAGUGUCACACGACUGAGGAAAGCGUAUGUCACCGGGCUUCGAGCUGUGAAAGCUGGCAAAAAAAAUGCGACGGAAGUGGUUACAAGAAUGGAGAUCGUUGCGAACAAAUCUCAAUAAAACGCUGCAUAAAUUGGGAUGGCGUGAGCAACUACGAAGUCCAAGCAUCAUUGUAUUCGUGGUGGGCAUGAGUGCAGUUUAUUAUGGAUGGCUGAAGAUCAUUGACAAUGAAGAGUUUGUGCCAAAAGCGGAGAAGCCCACACCUCCACACAUGGCGUUGUAUAACUUCAUUACUGGGAAGUCUGGUUCUACAGCCACGGGACAUUCACCAAAGAAGUCUGAAUGAGCACUUCUCGUACUGUACUGUUAAAUGUAGGCACUGCGUAAACAAAAUAUAAGUAAUGUGUUGUCAGUA